GGACUACACGGGUUUCUAAUCCUGUUCGCUCCCCACGCUUUCGCUCCUCAGCGUCAGUACAGGCCCAGAGAACCGCCUUCGCCACCGGUGUUCCUCCCGAUAUCUGCGCAUUUCACCGCUACACCGGGAAUUCCAUUCUCCCCUGCCUGCCUCUAGCCUGCCCGUAUCCACUGCAGGCCCGGGGUUAAGCCCCGGGUUUUCACAGCAGACGCAACAGGCCGCCUACGAGCUCUUUACGCCCAAUAAUUCCGGACAACGCUUGCGCCCUACGUGUUACCGCGGCGGCUGGCAC
RNAcentral lists this ribosomal RNA (292 nucleotides) under uncultured bacterium. RNAcentral describes it as "partial 16S ribosomal RNA". The record is from RNAcentral.